Molecule: ribosomal RNA, 484 nt
Filed under: uncultured bacterium
Lineage: Bacteria
Description: partial 16S ribosomal RNA
Rfam family: Bacterial small subunit ribosomal RNA
Source: RNAcentral
AUUGAACGCUGGCGGCAGGCCUAACACAUGCAAGUCGAGCGGAUGAAGGGAGCUUGCUCCUGGAUUCAGCGGCGGACGGGUGAGUAAUGCCUAGGAAUCUGCCUGGUAGUGGGGGAUAACGUCCGGAAACGGGCGCUAAUACCGCAUACGUCCUGAGGGAGAAAGUGGGGGAGCUUCGGACCUCACGCUAUCAGAUGAGCCUAGGUCGGAUUAGCUAGUUGGUGGGGUAAAGGCCUACCAAGGCGACGAUCCGUAACUGGUCGGAGAGGAUGAUUGAUCGCCCUGGAACUGGGACGCGCUCCAGACUACUGCGGGAGGCAGCAGUGGGGAAUAUUGGACAAUGGGCGAAAACCUGGUCCAACCAUGCCGCGUGUGUGAAGAAGAUCUUCGGAUUGUAAAGAACUUUAAGUUGGGAGGAACGGCAGUAAGUUAAUACCUUGCUGUUUUGACGUUACCAACAGAAUAAGCACCGGCUAACUUCGUG